Molecule: long non-coding RNA, 1243 nt
Filed under: Ursus maritimus (polar bear)
Lineage: Eukaryota; Metazoa; Chordata; Mammalia; Carnivora; Ursidae
Description: lncRNA (ENSUMAG00000025382.1)
Source: RNAcentral
GACAGGCUCAUUUAGAAACAAAUUAGGGGUUAAGUAAAAAGUGCAUGACGAAGGCAAAACCGAGUUUCCCUUUCCCCCUUCCUGUCGGUUAGAAUUAGAAAGUGCCUAUGAGCAGCGUGUGUCAAGAAUAUGAACGUGAGAUGUCAUUUCAGCUGCCUCUAAUUGAAGCCAGGAUAAAUGGAGUGGAAAGGCAGCGUCUAAUCCAAUCAAAACAUGAAAAAGUGAUACCAUAUCUCAUGGUGUUCAAAUAUGCCUGGUGUCAGCUCCUGCUUUGUAAAUGCUACAGCGGUUCCACUCUCUCUGCUUCACGAUUACACGGAAGUGAGUUUGUGAAGCACUUUUGGACAGUUAAUCCGACUCAUCAGUAUUUUAUGUGGGGACACCCGACACCUUUCUUGUUUUUAAUAGGAUGGGCGAUGGGUUUAAAAUAUAAAUCUCUUAUCAUCGGGGCUCAUUAAAAUAGUACCACGCACAGAGAUUUUACUGUGGCUCUUAAUGAAAUAGCCAAUAUUGAGAUCACAACAAGAAGUCAGAUAGCAAAGAAAAAUGACAGCUGGAGACGCAGAGAGCGGUUCUGUGCUGGCGGAAGGUGCUGGAAAUCCUCCUACAAAUCGCCUCUGAGCAGAAGAAAGUCUGAAAGAUCAACUGGCCAGGCCCCUGGAUUUACGGGUGAGAAGAGUGCCAGCAACCACAUAAGAGCUCUCUGCUUCUCCGUUCAUUGGAGGCAGAAACAGGAAGAGGGCCCCAGGGCGCCAACUGGCCUACACUGGGGUCCCGUCAGCCCCUGCCCCAGAGCCCCAGGAGUGACAUUUGAAAGCCAGUUCAGUGUCUCUGGGGCCACUGCUGAAGCACAAAUGAGGUGUCUCUGAGGAAGGCACCAAAGGCUUGGGCCAGGACAGUAAGAGACCACGGAGCAGCAGGUAAAACCAAAGUCACCGCUGAACAGUCUUCACUGCCAAGGGGCUCUGAUUUCCUCAAAUGCUUUCUCUGAAAGGCCAUCUUAUAUUAAAGGGUUUAUUCACCCGGGGCCCCUGGGUGGUACAGCUGAUUAAGCAGCCGACUCCUGGUUUCCACUCAGGUCAUGAUCUCAGGGUCAUGAGAUCCAGCCCUGCAUCAGGCUCUUCGCUCAGUGUGGAGUCUGCUUGGGACUCCCUCUCUCCCUCUUCCUCUGCCCUGCCCCCUGCGUUCUAGCAGUCUCUCUCUCUCAAAUAAAUAAAUAAUUUUUUAAAGGGGGGGACGCUUA